RNAcentral lists this ribosomal RNA (429 nucleotides) under Actinomycetes bacterium. RNAcentral's name for it is "Actinobacteria bacterium partial 16S ribosomal RNA". It matches the Rfam family "Bacterial small subunit ribosomal RNA", at positions 355 to 776 of the family's 1533-position model. The record is from RNAcentral. Lineage: Bacteria; Bacillati; Actinomycetota; Actinomycetes.
UAGGGAAUCUUCCGCAAUGGGCGAAAGCCUGACGGAGCAACGCCGCGUGAGUGAUGAAGGUCUUCGGAUCGUAAAACUCUGUUAUUAGGGAAGAACAAAUGUGUAAGUAACUAUGCACGUCUUGACGGUACCUAAUCAGAAAGCCACGGCUAACUACGUGCCAGCAGCCGCGGUAAUAUGUAGGUGGCAAGCGUUAUCCGGAAUUAUUGGGCGUAAAGCGCGCGUAGGCGGUUUUUUAAGUCUGAUGUGAAAGCCCACGGCUCAACCGUGGAGGGUCAUUGGAAACUGGAAAACUUGAGUGCAGAAGAGGAAAGUGGAAUUCCAUGUGUAGCGGUGAAAUGCGCAGAGAUAUGGAGGAACACCAGUGGCGAAGGCGACUUUCUGGUCUGUAACUGACGCUGAUGUGCGAAAGCGUGGGGAUCAAACAGG